AGAUUGAACGCUGGUCGGCAUGCUUUACACAUGCAAGUCGAACGGCAGCACGGGGGCAACCCUGGUGGCGAGUGGCGAACGGGUAGAGUAAUGUCAUCGGGACGUAAUCCUUGAGUAGGGGGAUAACGUCAGCGAAAGUUGUUGCUAAAUACCGCAUAAGCGUCUGAGGAGGAAAGCGGGGGACCGAAAGGCCUCGCGCUGAAGGAGCGGCCGAUGUCCGAUUAGCUAGUUGGUUGAGGUAAAGGCCUACCAAGGCUACGACGGGUACGCUGGUCUGAGAGGGACGACCAGCCACACUGGCACUGAGAUACGGGCCAGACUCCUACGGGGAGGCAGC
RNAcentral lists this ribosomal RNA (337 nucleotides) under uncultured prokaryote. RNAcentral describes it as "bacterial SSU rRNA". It matches the Rfam family "Bacterial small subunit ribosomal RNA", at positions 26 to 352 of the family's 1533-position model. The record is from RNAcentral.